GGAAAAUCCAGACAGAAAUGUUUACUGGCUGGAGCAACUUCAUGAACCAGGGACACUGGAAGGCUGGAUAUGCAAUAGUCACUCAUCAGGAGGUCCUAGAAGCAGAAGCCCUCCCUCCAGGGCUGCAGUGUUGGAAUACUCAUUCAGAGACUGUGAAGCCUCCGCGGGAGUCCAUGUGUGAACUUGGUUGCCACCACAGCAUGUCUGCUCCUUCAGGAACCUAACCCAGGCUGCAGAAGUGGAGGAUGUCAAACUUAAGAACUAGGCCACAGGGCCGGCCCCUAUCUAAUACUUUGUUUAUGAUGCAAAGUCUAAAUAGAUUCAAUCAAAUUUUUUUUUCUUAUACAUAUAUUAAAAUAAUAUGUUAAUUUUUGAGAAAGAGAAAAAUGAUCUCUGAC
Molecule: long non-coding RNA, 398 nt
Filed under: Equus caballus (horse)
Lineage: Eukaryota; Metazoa; Chordata; Mammalia; Perissodactyla; Equidae
Description: lncRNA (ENSECAG00000030125.2)
Source: RNAcentral